This 465-nucleotide long non-coding RNA is filed under the name Phoenix dactylifera (date palm). Its description in RNAcentral is "long non-coding RNA (PDAC_LNC006983)". Lineage: Eukaryota; Viridiplantae; Streptophyta; Magnoliopsida; Arecales; Arecaceae. The record is from RNAcentral.
AUCUCCAACAUCGCCCCGCUCCGAAUAAGGACGCACGAUCGCCAACGAAUGAAGUCCACCUUCUGUAUGUCUCCAAGAUCGGAUUUCCGACCAAGCUCGGAUCCCCCAGUUAAAGGAUUAACGUCAUGCUACAUCAACUAUCGAGCUCGGCUCGAUCUCCAUCGACUAAUCGAGCUCGGCUCGAUCUCCAUCGACUAUCGAGCUCGGCUCGAUCUCCAUCGACUAAUCGAGCUCGGCUCGAUCUCCAUCGCCUAAUCGAGCUCGGCUCGAUCUCCAUCGCCUAAUCGAGCUCGGCUCGAUCUCCAUCGCCUAAUCGAGCUCGGCUCGAUCUCCAUCGACUAAUCGAGCUCGGCUCGAUCUCCAUCGACUAUCGAGCUUGGCUCGAUUUCGGCUUGAUCGCCAACAGACAAGGCCAAAGAAGGCCGCUGAGUCAACCUGGAGCACUUUAACUCCAACUGCAUGAAA